AACGCAAAUUGCGCCCGAGGCUUCGGCCGAGGGCAUGUCUGCCUCAGCGUCGGUAUACCCCCUCGCCCUCUCCUCCCCCUGUGGGAUCAGAGGCGCGGACCUGGCCCUCCCGGCUCCGCCGCCCUUCGGGGCGGCGUCCGGGUGGGCUGAAGCACAGAGGCUUGAGCAUGGACCCCGUUUGCAGGGCAAUGGCUUGGUAGGUAGGCACCCCCUACGCAGCCUGCCGUUGCCCGAGGGGACUUUGCUGGCGGCCCAGCAGGAAUUCGGGUCGGCGUCCUGCGCCGGCUCGAACACUCUUACCUUCGACCUGAGCUCAGGCAAGACUACCCGCUGAACUUAA
This 340-nucleotide unclassified non-coding RNA is filed under the name uncultured fungus. Its description in RNAcentral is "partial contains 5.8S rRNA and ITS2". The record is from RNAcentral. Lineage: Eukaryota; Fungi.